This 216-nucleotide long non-coding RNA is filed under the name Elaeis guineensis (African oil palm). Its description in RNAcentral is "long non-coding RNA (EGUI_LNC000089)". Lineage: Eukaryota; Viridiplantae; Streptophyta; Magnoliopsida; Arecales; Arecaceae. The record is from RNAcentral.
UUUAUUUCUCUUUUAUACAUGAUUCUGAUGUAUCCAUCGAGCAUGUGGUCUCAUUUUUUAUGUUGCUAAAUUAUCGGACUAUAAUUAUAGAGUUAAUGGAUUGUUUAUGUCCACUAAUGAUCGUGAUACAUAAUCGAUAACCGUUCAUAACGAUUAGGAUGUGUUGCGAAGAUAGACCGACUAUAUAUCGGUAAUAGUGAUAAAUCGAUAGUCCCG